UAUGAUAAUAAAUAAGUGAAAAACAUGGAAGAAGCGUGCGUCCCCGCGAAGGAGUUGGAAGCGUUGCGUUUUCUCAACAAAAAUGCCAUGUAAUUCGGUAAACGAUCUGUCUGCGAGGAAAGGACGAGGUCUCGGGGAGAAGAGGGGCAAGGAGAGGAGUAAAAGGGGAAGAGGGCGCAGAAUCCGAUCUGCCGCCUCUCCAGCAAUCGAUAUGCCUGCGACCACGUGAAAACCACGCCGUUCGACGGGGACGACGCCAAAAACUCCCGACACCUUGUACUACUACUAUCUACUACUACUCUACUACUGCUCUAUUAUUGCUCUGUCCCAAACAUCGUAAAAAAUUGUUGUCGCCGGGUUGUGUCGUCGUCCAUGAUGAUUCAAAGGAUCUUCGAAAGAACGAAAAGAGAAUGAAACAAUGAUAAACAUUUUUCACGCUGAAAACGAAAAGAGAGAGGCGAAAGAGAAUUCCAAUUACUAUGCCAAUCAAACGCAUUACACACCACACACAACGAUCAGAAUGAAACGUCGUAUUACCGAACGACGAUUGUUUAAUAAUUUUACAAAUAUUAUAAUGUAAAUUAAAAGAUCAAACGUAUCCUCGUGCACAAACACUUUCAUCUUUCGUCGAGAUUUUCUACUUCGUCGAGAAAAUAUAUCAAGUUAAAACGAAAUAUUUCCUUCCUGAACGUAUUAUAACACAGCGGACAUAAUAAUCUUAAAUCACUAUGAACUUUCCGAAAGAAUUUCAAUAAACGAAGGACCGUUCUAAUUUCUAUUCCAAAGAUAAGCGAUAAUCCCUUUCUCUUUCCUCACCUCUUAAAACCACGUUAAAGAACGAGCCGCCCAACGUGGCGUGCGAAGAAUCGUAACGCGGGAGAAUAUACCUCUCCUCUCGGCACUCCACGUAGAUAGAAGAAGAAGAAGAAGAAGAAGAAACCGGUAUCGUCCCGAAGGAUAUACAUAAGCGAAUUCGUAGAUACGCGAUUUCAUUGUCGUCUCUCUCUUUCUCUCUUUCGUCCUGUCGGAGGCAACGUCGCCGCCCGAUCGUCACCGGGUGGUGUCCACCCUCCCACUCCACCUCAUCGGCCCUCCCUUUCUCUUUUGUCCCCUCUUCCUCCGACAAUUCUCUCUCUUUCUCUCUCUCUCUCUCUCGCUCGCUCGCUCGCUCGCUCGCUCCUCUUUCAUUCCCAACCUUCCGCCUAACGCACACACUAUCGCGUCGGUAGUUCGCAUACACCAAGAGUGAACGUCUCCUACGCGUGCGUGCGUGCGUGCGUGCGUGCGUGCGUGCGUAAGGUGUGCGUGCGUGCGUGUGAGAUAUAUAGAGAAAGAAAGAAAGACAGAGAGAGAGGGGGAGAGAGAGAGAGAGAGAGAGAGAAGACGAUGACGCCGCUAGCCUGUUUUCCUCUCUCUCGUUUCUGUUGCUAUGCGCGAGUGCAUGAGACCGGCCCCAUAUGGUGCGUUCACCACCAUCCUCGCCAAAAGCAGCCCAGGGCCACUACGAAGCGCGCGAUGAGAGGAGGGAGACGGAAAGCACAGAAGCACGCGCGGCUCUCCCUACGCUGAGAUAGAAAGAGCGAGAGCGAGAGCGAGAGCGAGAGAGAGAGAGAGAGAGAGAGAGAGAGAGAGAGAGAGAGAACAAGACGAACAAAUCCGACCAAGAGAGAAAGAGAAAGAAACGGUGGGUGGCAACAUAUAUAAGAUGCAUAGGCAUCUCUUUUUCUCUCUCUCUCUCUCUCUCUCUCUUUCUCGACUCAUCUCGCGACUUCGAAACGUCAUCCGCGAGACGACGCACCAAAGCGCCGAUCUUACGAAACAUUUCUUCUUCUAUCUCUUUUUUUCCCUUUUCUUUUUCCGUUUUUUUUUCUUCUUCUUCUUCUUUUCAUUCCUUUUUAUUCCAAUUUCCUUCCAUAAGUACGCGAUAAACACUCGCAAGAUUGAAAAACGUACUCGCGUUGAUAACUAUUUGUUCCUGCUAUUACAAGAUAAAUGAGAUGCAAAGAGACGCGCGUACCGACAAAGUACGAAGAACUACCUCCUCCUAAACGCUGCAAUAACGUUUAGGAGAAGAGAGAGAAAGAGUCUUCGGAGAAAUCUUACUAACCGUAUUCGCCAUAUUUGUUUGGCGCGAAGUACGCAAUCGUUUUAAUGAGAAAACUGUCGCGCGUCAACAAAAUAUCGUAGAUUUUGAAGAACGGGCGAAUGAUUAAAUUUGAUCAACAAUUAGAAUAAAUAGGAACGACACUUUCGUCGAAAUUAGACAUCGGCAAAGAUUAGAAAAGCCAAAAUACGCGCUCUUUUGAAUCUGCACCGGGAAGUGAAGAGGAUGGAUCAAGUAGACACUACUUAGUCCUCGAGCCGUUAGCGAUCGUCCUGCCAUCUUCUUCGAUUUUCUUUAUUUAAAGCGCGUAAUUUAUAUUCUCAAAAGCGUAUCGCUAAAUGAUCGUUUCUAUUUUUACUUCGCGCUCGAGCGUGAAUCGUUAAAUCGGAAAUAUCAGAAAAUGAUGCGUUUGGUUACGGUGAGAUGGUAAACGAUACGACGAGGAUUUCUCGCGUUUAUGCGACAAACGAAAUAAACUAGCGCUCAGUGAACAGCCCGGAUAGGGGCGUCCCACUUUCGAAACCCGGUUUGUUAAGUCUUAAUAGAACGAAAUUAUAAUGCUCGGGAAUAGAGUCGCGAAAUCGUCAACGUAGGAAAUUACUCGAGCUCGAGGACGCUCGCUGCUAUUAUUCUUUCCUGCGUUUUUUAAUAAUAUAUACAAGCUUUAGAAUCUCUCUCUCCCCCUUCCUCGCUCGUAUUAUUAAUAAAAUUUUGAUUUAGCACAGCGGAUUGAUAUUUGUUCUAUCGAAUUUUUAAAACGCAAUCCUCCGAUCGUAGAUCGUUUCUUCAUUCCGCGCGAUAAAGAGUAUAGAGAAUUUUCGAGAUAGAAGAAAAGAGAGGGUGUCUCUGUUAUGGUCGGAAGAGCACCGACGAUCGAGGCCGUUUUGCAAAGAGCAAGAAUAUAUAAGACAUCUUUUUUCGUGCGGUCCUCGGCAAGAGGGGUAAGAUAGAAGCGGAGGAGGAGGUCGAGAACGUGAGGAAGAUUACGAGGAGAAGAGAAGACGACUAACGCCAUCGGAUGGUCGUGGAGCCGUUAUGAAUCUCUGCAUCGAAGAAGAAGAAGUUGGAUAGAUGGAGAGGAGGAAGAGAGAAGAAACAGAGAUAGAAAUAGAGAAACGACUGCGGAGGAGGAGGAGGAGGAGGAGAGGUGACUAGGUAGGCAGCAGCUGGAGGGUGGGAGUAGACUGGCUGGAAUUGGAAGGGGAAUAUGACGGAAAGAGAGAUAGAGAGAGGAGAGAUAGGAAAGAUGAAGAGUAGGGAGAGAGAGAUAGUGAGAGAUGGAAGGGGCGUGAUCAGGACUACCGGCCGAGUCAUGAAUGAAGUGACAGACGAAACGAGCGAGAGAGCAGCCGCCGCCGCCGCCGGCCCAGGCCGUUCCACGACCUUCCGGAACGUCUGCGUUCCACUUCUUCCCACCUCCUCUCCCUCCUCGUUUUCCUUCUGCUCUUGCGCGUCCUCGCGCUUUUUCGCGGAUCCAACCGCGCGCGAUCUUCCAAUUCUCUCUCUUAUAUUCGUGAUUUAUCGAUUCUCCCAGUCCACCUUUGGAUAUCUCUCUCUCCCACCAUUUUCAAACGCACCAAAGAGCGGACCCCUCCGAACCAUUACGAUUCCUUCCCACCUCAUGAUAUUAGACAAAUCAAUAAUGAUACUUUCGCUCAAUGAUAUUCGUAGGAACUUUACGGCGUUGUUAAGGAGUUUGGUUGGGAAUUCGAAGCGCCUUCUCUUUCUUUCCUCGUUGAAAGCGCCGAGGAGAGGUCUCUCUCUCUCUCUGUGCCACUACUACUUUGUUCGCUUAUAACCGGCUUUCGAUUUUUUCUUUUGCUUUUUGUUGUUUCCUUUUUUGUUUCUUUAAAGUCUCAAGGUAACUUCACCGUUGCUACGUUACUUUCGUAAUUUCGCUUCGAAUCACGAUUCUUCCUUACUCGACCAGUUCCACUAAACAAAAGUCACUGCAAAGUAUGUAAAUUGUUAGAGAGAGAGAGAGAGAGAGAGAGAGAGAGAGAGAGAGAGAGAGAGAAAAGAAUCCGCGCGGUGCAUUAAUCGCGACUAUCUUGAAAUUCUUCGAAAAAGAGAAAUGGAACGGGGCACCGGCAACUAAUAAUCCGUGACUGCAAUGGUGGAACCGUUUCUGAGUCACUGAGUUCGAGCAACGGUCAACGGAAAGUUUUGGCAUGGCCAGCCAAAGGAGACAGAGCCUCGACGAACGAACGCGCACAUUCACAUGCACGCUCAGCCGUCUCUUCUGUGUUUGUCCAAGAGAAAAGAGACUCAGCGGCGAUUGGGAAUGCGCGAAGAAGCGAAGCGAAGCGAGCGUACGAACGAACGAAUUUCUUUCGUUCGAGACAAGAUCGAGAGAUCUUACUUGUCAAAUUUUCUUUUCGAAAAAGCCGCCGUGUAUAUUUUUCAAAAUGGCGGCUAACCGAGGAAGUAUUACGAACGCGUGACACGACGAACACGUGAGCAAAUAAAGAGAGAACGAACAGCUGUUGGAAAUUCGCGCUCGUUUCAAAUUUAUCCAUGAACAUUGUUCAUGUCUCUCUCUCUCUCUCUCUCUCUCUCUAUCUCCCCUUGAGUUUGAACUUGCAGAAGGUGUGUAAGCGUAACCGGCCUAUCUUUUAUUUUUACAGCUCCAGCUUUUUUUUCUUUCUUUUCACCGACUUCAAGGUCCCUUUGUAAAGAGUUUCUACGAAAAAAAUUUCUCUUUCUCUUUCUCUUUCUAACGUUUUAAUUCCGUCUCUUCGUUCAUCGAUCGAAUCGAGGAUCAACGAAGGAGAGCGCCGAUCGAAGAUUUCAAGGACGAAAGGCCCCUCUUCUUUCGAGGAUAGAAAAGGGAGUUGUUAGCGGACCGUCUUGAAACGAAAGCCUUUUCUCCUUCGUCCUUUGUUCCUUCGGAAACCAUCGAAUUUUUCUGGCUGGUCUAUAAUCUUGUUUAUUAUUUGAGAAGAAUCGAUCGAGUUUUAGUUCCGUCUAAUCUUUAUGACGUUAUCAACGUUCGCUCUAUGAUAAGAUAUUGCGUCGAAAUUAGAGAAAAAAGAGAGAGAGAGAAACAAUAAUCCGUUACUCGAUGUAAUCGUAUAGUUUACUUGUGCAAUGCAUCGUCGCAUAAUGACGUCGUUUAUUGGAUACAACCAAUUCGCACUCGAUUUAAUUAAACGCGUUCACGUUUUUGCAUUCCACGAGGGAACACAAUAAGAUACGUGGUGUUUAGGCCUUUUACUCCGUUUCUUAACGGUAUUCGAGCCGUGCUUGUGAAUUUACACCGCUAAGAAUCGAUGAAGAGAUCUUUCAACGAGAAAGAAAGCAAAGUUUAACUUGCCCUUCCAACUUCUCAUCAUGAAGAAGGCCUUGAGGAUCUUUCGGUUGGUUCUCUCGUGUCUACGACAUGUGUAUGUGGGUACGUAUGUAUGUAUGUCGUAUGUAUACAUAUUCAAGAAUCUAGACGUCCGAAAAGAAAAGCAAAAGAGUAGCGAGAAGAGAAGACCGAUUUUAUAUCUAUAUAGAAGAAUUAACCUUUUAUCGAGCUCUAUAAGCUAGUAAUAAAGUUCAAAUUAGAAAGAACGAUUUCAUUUCGAUGGGUUGAUCUAAUCGAAGAAAGAAAAGAAAAAAAAACAAAAAAGAGAUAAAAAGAAAAAGUAAAAAAAAAAAAAAAUAUAAAGAAAAUUAAUUCCAUCGAUCUAGCAAAGAUCAAGAUUUUCUUCAUCGAUUAUGAAGACUACUGAGAGAAAUGUGACCUUAUAAAAAAGGACGAAGAGACCGUCCGAUGAUCGAUGGACCACGAGUUAAAAGAGUCGUAUACGUAAGCUCGUAAAUUUGACCCCCACUAUCCCACCCUCUCCCUCUUCUUCUACUUUGAUGUAUGGACACCCUUUCUACGUAUGUCGUACACGAAGGGACGAGUAAAAGCGAGUGGCUGGCAUCUGGGUCGUCUUUAAUUAUUCGCGAAGCUAUUCUGACUUUUGACGAGCGCCCCAGGCGAUGGGAUUCGAUUCCACGUUUGCCCUUUUUCUCCUCGUCGAAACUAAACCUUCGACAUUCUUCCUUUUUUCCUUUUCUUCUUGCCCUUCCUUCGUUAUAUCUGUUACAGGCCGAGCUACGAUUCGAUGAAACAAAAUUUCAACUGAAAAUUCGUGAUCGAUCGAUCCCAAGAAUUCGAUUCGAAAAAAUAUUUCCCAUAUAAAAGUUUGAAGGAUGUUCAAAGAAGAAGAAGAAGAAGAAGAAGAAAGAAAGAGAAAGAGGGAAGGGGAAAGAGAGAAAAAGCUUUUCGAUUGGUAGUUCGUAUAGGUUCUUCCUCGCUUUGGCUAAGGGCUUCGCGAAUCGUUUCAUUUCUUCCUUCCUUUUUCUUUCCUCUCUCUCUCUCUCUCUCUCUCUCUCUCUCUCUCUCUCUCUCUCUCUCUCUCUCUUUCUCUCCCUCCCUACCCCCGUACUCUUUUCUCCUAUUUAUAUUCCUUAUUUUUCUGUUCUGCUUUAUUUUUUUGUCUUUUUCUUCCUUUCUUUCUCGCCCAUUCUCCCUCUGGGUCUUACAACAAACUCGAGAUACGGAACGUCAGGAUCGCAUAGAGGGCGAGAGACAGUUUUCUCUCGUAUAUAUGCUAAGUGUUUCGUGGUCUUGUCCAUUGUUUUCGCGUUGAGACUUCGUGGAUUGAUUUUAUUGCUUCUCCCCCGGCACAUCUCUCUUUCUCUCUCUCCCCCUCUCUUUCUACAAUUUCUACUAUGUAUUCUAUAUACUCAUUCUUGAAUUAUCGAGAGAGAGAGAGAGAGAGAGAGAGAGGGAGGGAGAGAAAAAGAGGAGAAAGAAAACAUUAGAAAAGUAAAGAAAACAAAGAGAAUCGGUCACGAGUCUUCUAGGACGACGCACGAACGAAGAAACCCGAGGCGGUAAGACGAUGAUUACAAGAACAGCAUGCAAUGCCGUUCCACCAAAGCUUUUUUCUCUCUCUUUCUCUUUCUAAUUCUCUCUCUCUCUCUCUCUCUCUCUCUCUAUCUCUCUCGCUCUCUCCAUUUUUCUUUCUUUCUUUUUUUCCCUUUCGAUGCACCUCCGUUAGCCGAUCAGGUUUUCUUUCCCCUUCUUCGUCCGGCGCACUAAUCACGGAUACAUUCGCGUUAUUUAUAUCGCCGUCCGUUUUAUCGAUAUCCUUGCUUUUGUGCCGUCGCGGUAACGGCACCGGAGCGGAACGCGAGACAGCUGGAGAAUACGAUCGAACUUCCCCCCUUUUCUCUAUUUCUCACAUACUUAUUUUCGAAAGCACGCGAUCCCUAUUUAACGCGGACUCACCCGUAGAAUAGCCCUUCGAACGUAUGAUUUAUGUAAAUCGUGGCUAAUUAAUCGUAAGCUAAAGAGAAAAAGAGAGAGAGAGAGAGAGAGAGAGAGAAAAUUCUUCGGAAGUUGCAAAUCCCGGAAAACUCCGUAGAAGGAUAGCUCGAAACUUUUCUUAACCCAUUUACGCUUACUGGGUCGUAAAUGACCUUCCUUUCUUUCUUCUUCUGGUCCAUGCAUCUAUCUCCUCGUCAGCCCUUUUCCACUCUCUUAUUCUCCGAUCCUCUCUUUCUUUCGUUUUCUUUUUUCUUUUAUUUUCUUUUUCUUUUUUUUUUUUUUUUAUGAUCGAUUGUCUUCCGAGAACAUGUUAUUAAUAUCGAACGUAAAAGAAAUCCUUCACUUGAAUUUAUUUUUCUCAAUUCGCCCGUUUAAUUUCUCACGUGAUAAAGAGGCGUCUCUUACAAACAAACAAAAAAUAAAAGAAGAAAAAAAAAAAUAAAAGGAAAAAUAAAGAAAAAUUGAAGUAUAAUGAACUUCGAAAGAGAGUUCGAGGUAGUCGAUCUUGGUUCAUCACGGUUGUCCACCUAAACGCAUAGUUAUUAGCCGAGCUGCAUCUCAACGGAUAUGCAGAAUUCCCCAGACCUCUCUCUCCCCUCUCAUUCCAUAGGAAUGUACCGAUGGAGCAGCUACGAGCUGCUCCUCUCUCGGCACCCUCUCUCUCAUCCUUCUCUUCUCCUUCGCGUCGUCCUCCUUUCUUUUUCUCUUCUCUUUCUCUCUCUCUCUCUCUCUCUCGCUCUCUGUCUCUCUCUCUCUAUCUCGUGCCACCGGUUACGACGGUGUGCCCGAGAAGUGUUAAUGCCGUCGUCUCGAACGUGGUUUGGCUUCGGUUGCCAAGCGAAUCCGCUGUCACUGGGAUUUCGAAAGGCACGUCACACGCUUGCCUUCCUUAUAUGUUCGUGGCCUUUACUACGGCCCACACGAGAAGAGGUCCUUUGCUGAUAAUACGAGAAGCCUGAAUAUGGCAAGAUACCGUCUAAUAAAUUGUUUUCAUCUUCGCUUCUUCUUUUUUUAUUUUUGUUCUAUUUUUUUUUUUUUUUUUUUUUUUUUUUUUGUGAAGAACAAAUUCUCACACGUUUCUUGAGGUAGAUAAGGAAUUCUUGGAAGAGAUAACGAUAAAUCAUUGAUCGAGAGUAUAAGAUAAAACUUCCAGAUGGAUGUGUAGGGGUAUAGUCAGCGUGCUUCGACCAUGAGCUCAACAGCUGUUUAUAUAUCAUAAGGCAAUAUCUAUCUCGCUCUCUCAUCCACCCAUUUAGUUAAAGUAACCUCCUACGGUAUAUACCGUGGCACUGCACUUUGCGAACCAUUUUGUAUUUUUGAUGGUACCACCUUCCAUGAAUUCUAUUUCUCUUUAACUCGCGUGGGUGACAAAUCUUCUUGCCAACUACCAGUAAUUAUCCUUUUUAUCCUUUGGACGCGUUUCGUUUGUUUACGCGUUAUCGCGUAUGUAUCUUUCUACGUUGGCGUCACAUCGGCUACGUCAGGCGUGACGUCACUAAACUGCAAUCUACAAGUAGCAAGAUGACCGAAAGGAUGAGCAAUGUCAAGGCUACCGAUACACCUCUUUUACCAAUCAUUGUCCAGACGAACAUUUCUUUAAAGGAAAGAAAGCAAGCAUAUGAAUGGAUGGAGUCCGCGGACUACGAAUCGAUCGACGAAAGAAAAAUACGAAAGAGGAAAGGAAAGAAGAAAAAAGUAAAGGAAAAAAGAAGAAGAAUGAAAAU
Vespa crabro (European hornet) is the source of this 9139-nucleotide long non-coding RNA. RefSeq lists it as uncharacterized. Lineage: Eukaryota; Metazoa; Arthropoda; Insecta; Hymenoptera; Vespidae. The transcript is spliced from 2 exons. The record is from RefSeq and is a predicted model, not a curated record.